Molecule: long non-coding RNA, 369 nt
Organism: Gekko japonicus
Lineage: Eukaryota; Metazoa; Chordata; Lepidosauria; Squamata; Gekkonidae
Exons: 3
Source: RefSeq, a predicted model, not a curated record
AUCUGAACGCCUUGAUGGUGAAUGUAGGCAGAGUAACAGUGAAGAAUUAAUCUGCAAUGCUACCCAGAAAAUAUAUAAAAUGGCAUGCAAGCUCAAUAGACUAUCCAACUGUACCAUGAAUGCUGAUUUAAAGAACAACUUGACCAGUGUUUAUAACCACACAUUCAACUUGCUAAAGGACUGCGUCAAGGAAGAAAAAAGACAUCAGAGGACAGACACUUGCCAAAAAUCAAAUUCUACAGCCUUAUGUCGCAUAAAGAAAACCAUCUGCAAGUUUAAGUUAUGCUGGAUGCAGUAUAUAAACUCUUAAGUGAAACUUGAUGAACUAUAAAAAUGGUUUUGUGGACUAUUUCCCCAAUAACUUUGCAC